This 250-nucleotide ribosomal RNA is filed under the name uncultured prokaryote. RNAcentral describes it as "partial 16S rRNA". It matches the Rfam family "Bacterial small subunit ribosomal RNA", at positions 525 to 775 of the family's 1533-position model. The record is from RNAcentral.
ACGUAGGGGGCAAGCGUUAUCCGGAAUUAUUGCGCGUAAAGCGUGAGUAGGAGGUUUUUUACGAGUGCGGUGCACGGCAUUACUUUCAUUAUUGUAUGCCUUGCGAAUGGGAAGACUUGAGUGAAGGACAGGAAAGUGGAAUUCCUAGUGUAGCGGUUGAAUGCGUAGAUGUUAGGAGGAGGGCCAGUGGCGAAGGCGACUUUCUGGACUGUAACUGAGGCUGAGGCACGAAAGCGUGGGGAGCAAGCAG